GACGAACGCUGGCGGCGUGCUUAACACAUGCAAGUCGAACGGAAAGGCCCUGCUUUUGUGGGGUGCUCGAGUGGCGAACGGGUGAGUAACACGUGAGUAACCUGCCCUUGACUGUGGGAUAACUUCAGGAAACUGGGUCUAAUACCGGAUAGGAGCUCCUGCUGCAUGGUGGGGGUUGGAAAGUUUCGGCGGUUGGGGAUGGACUCGCGGCUUAUCAGCUUGUUGGUGGGGUAGUGGCUUACCAAGGCUUUGACGGGUAGCCGGCCUGAGAGGGUGACCGGCCACAUUGGGACUGAGAUACGGCCCAGACUCCUACGGGAGGCAGCAGUGGGGAAUAUUGCACAAUGGGCGGAAGCCUGAUGCAGCAACGCCGCGUGCGGGAUGACGGCCUUCGGGUUGUAAACCGCUUUCGCCUGUGACGAAGCGUGAGUGACGGUAAUGGGUAAAGAAGCACCGGCUAACUACGUG
RNAcentral lists this ribosomal RNA (468 nucleotides) under uncultured bacterium. Its description in RNAcentral is "partial 16S ribosomal RNA". It matches the Rfam family "Bacterial small subunit ribosomal RNA", at positions 28 to 507 of the family's 1533-position model. The record is from RNAcentral.